This 245-nucleotide ribosomal RNA is filed under the name uncultured bacterium. RNAcentral describes it as "partial 16S ribosomal RNA". It matches the Rfam family "Bacterial small subunit ribosomal RNA", at positions 524 to 768 of the family's 1533-position model. The record is from RNAcentral.
GACAGAGGUGGCAAGCGUUGUUCGGAAUCACUGGGCUUAAAGCGCGUGUAGGCGGUUCGUUAAGUGUCCUGUGAAAUCCCUCGGCUCAACCGAGGAACCGCCGGGCAUACUGACGGACUUGAGGCAGGUAUGGGCGAGUGGAACUCUUGGUGGAGCGGUGAAAUGCGUAGAUAUCAAGAGGAACGCCGGUGGUGAAGACGACUCGCUGGGCCUGUCCUGACGCUGAGACGCGAAAGCCAGGGGAG